GGACGCUCAACCGACUGCGCCACCCAGGCGCCCCAGUACCGUUUAAUCUCUUGCAAUGCCCGUGGAUCCCCUGCUCACGAGACUGCAGAAUUCUACAUAUGGCUUAGCUGGUGAAACCUUGGAGAAAAGAAAACAGACACAAAUAUGCCCAAGAUGCAGCUUCAGCCUUCCAGACAAGCCAGGACCCUGAGAAAAGAAGAAAAAUAAUGGAAACAAUGUGUCCCUGAAUGACCACAUAGAGCAGAGCUAUCCCACAGCCUCCACCAAGUAGACUAUUGUGUGAGCAGAAAGAAGCGCCAAUCAAUUGCAAGCCACUGUGUAUUGUAUAUUUGGGUCAUUUUGUUUAGCAACUUAGCCUUUACUCUCACUGUUCCUCUGAGCCAAGACAGAUUUGCUCCCUCUCCUCCCACAUUGUCCCACAGGGGAUACAAACAAACCUUGUGGAUGUGGAAAGGAAAACAUCUCUGCUGGCCUCUGUGACCGUCAUUCCACGUAUAGCUCAUUCAAUCAAUGUUUAAUGUGUGCAUGUCUUGUACAGGACUCUGGGCUACGCGUUGUGCAAGAAUGGAUACCAGACUUGCUUGCUCAGAAAAGAGAGGAAAACAUACCCAACAGGAGGUAUCACGAGAAACCUCAAAAAGAAUGUAAUGCUGGAUUUCAUAGGUGGAGAUAAACGAAUGGAAAUUCUAAGCAAGAGGGAAUGCACUAGCAAAGAGACAGAGGCAAGAAAAUUCCUCAAUUUGGCUAGAGCAUGAUGGGAAGGAAGAGAAAGUAGAAGAUAAAAUAAAAAAAAUAUAUAGUUAGACCUCAUUUUUGGGAAAGUAGCCGAAAGAGGUCUGGGACAAAGUAUGGUGAGCCCUAAAUGACAGCCUUUAUCAUUACACAACGGGAAGACAUUGAAACCCUCUGCAAGUCUCAUAACCCAACCAGGCCUAGGCAAAAAUUCUUUUCCUCUUUUUAUUUGAAAUGACCUCUGCUGCUGGCAGGUGACAAGUGAAAGCAUUCAUUUAGUGAAUUGCCUUGAAGAUACAAGGCACUUUUUCUGCUGUAUUCUGUAAAUAUUAACUGUCUCCCCAAGGGAAGAAAACUACUGUCUUCAUUUUAUGAGAAAAGAAAGAGGCUCCACUAAGUGAUAUUGGGACCCCAGCCGGGUCUCAGAAGGAGUCUUGCAGAGAUUCACCAGCUCAGCAAAGAAGAUGAGGCCAUCUUGCAAACAACACUGGAAGUCAGAAUAAGUUACCAUAUUUUGUUCUCAGUUGAAUAAGAAUUACAUGAGGAAAAAGAGAUAUUUCCUGGACUUGUAUGCACUUUUGUUUCACAACCUUUGUAAGUCGAUAUACCCCAGUGGCCUUCUAGCAAAAAGACCAGUCUUCCUGUGAGCUCUCGGAUCUGAGGCAGAUGGCACCUGGUCCACUCUGACAAGACUGUGUAGGGAUAGGAACAGAAAACAAAGAUGAGAAACAAAAAUCUCCUCAGAAUGUCUUUCAGAGUUUAUCCUGUCAGCCACCUACAGGAGACAGGGGAAAAAACAAACAAAUAAAUAAACAAAAGCCCUUCGAUUUCUAUGGACGGUAUUUUUACCCAGAGAGUGUGACCAGCAAUUUUAUUGCUGAUACUCCGACAUUUACUAUUUUUCAGGCUCAGCGGUCAGCACCCAUGUCCUCUGUCCAACCCAGAGUCUCAUAUUUUGUUACUGAUUCAAAGCGUACUCAUAAGUUUUUGCCGUAUGUGCAAGCUAUACACACAGACUCAAGUCUCCAAAAUCAUAAUAGUGUUUUGAUGGAAUCAAUUUGCCUCUGGACGGAAUCUGGUUGGUGAUUUGGCUUCAAUACUUGUAAUUACUCGAGUGAUGUAAGACUUGAAAUAGAGAGACCACAAUUGCCAUAAAUAAUACUGUAAGGAAUCACAGCUGCAUUUUUCCUUUCUCUUCCCAGCAGUAUUUAUGACUCAGCAUUGAUAUCUGUGUAUUGCUUAUUGGCUUAUCUGACUGAUUCUUAUCUUAUCUGAUUGCUUAUUGGCUUAUCUGAAGCCUAUGAAUUCCUUGAAGAUAGGAACCACAUCCUGUUUUUCUCUUUAUCCCAAGCAUAGAAUAGUACCUGACACAAAUUAAGCGUUUAAGAAAUACUGGUCAAGUUAUCUAAUGAAUGAGUAAACGGUGAAUUGCAUGAAUGAACGAAUGAACAAGCACUGGAUUUCUCGGUAGGUCUUUAUCCAUCAUAAAUAAGGUCCCAGAGCCCACGUUUUGCUACUGUUAAGAUACCAGAGAAUGCGACGAGGGAGGAGUCCCUGACACAUCAGAAAACUUUCUCAGGGACUGAAAGCCAAGCAGCUUCUGAACAAUUUACUCAGAACUCUGAAUAAAGACAUCAGCUUUCUAGGCUGUGUUGACUAUGCACUAGUUAACUGCAAUGUUACACUACUGAAGAAAAUAUGCUCACCGUUCCAAACCUCAGCGGGAUCUAAGAGGAGCCAAUAUUGUUCAGGCACCAGGAGCUGUGUGUCUUUUACCUCCCAAAGGUUAAAAACUUGUACAUUUGGUGGCAAUGAGCUGGAUGAACACCAUGAUUCCACUAAGCUCAAACAUUCUGUCUCUACCAGGGCAAAUGAUAAGAGAACUCUAAAGAUACAAUUCUAAAAUACUCUUAACAUCAGCAUGUCCAUUCUAUUCAGUUCAAAGCCUCUGCAUGAUAAGUGGUAAGCUGUUUGGUUUCCUAGUCUCAAUGUUCUCAUCUGAAAAAUGGAGACUCACAAAUAAGUGGACUCAUAGUAUUUGCCAGCAAAGUGGACAACACUAAACAAACAUUGACUGAUAGGGUUUAAAAUACAGUCCCUGAUGCUAAAGACACAAAGAACUGUGACCAUGAUGUGCUAAGUACAAUGAGAGCUGUAAGUUCACAAUGUUACAGAAACACAAAGAAAUACCCGACCUCAGCAUGGUACAGGGCUGAGGUUCUCCUGAAGAUGUCCCCUCAUCUGAGACUUUGAGGAUAAUUAAGAGUUUAGGUGUCAUCAAGUGGGGAGAUGGCAUUUCAGGCAUCAGGAACAGUAUGAACAAAGACAUAGAGAUUAGAAACCCCGUGGUAGGGGCACCUGGUUGGUUCAGUCCUCAGUCAAUAGAGCAUGUGACUCUUGAUCUCAAGGUCGUGAGUUCAAGCUCCAUGGUGGCAUUAGAGCCUACUUAAAUAAAUAAAUAAAUAAAUAAAUAAAUAAAUAAAUAAAACCAUGUGGCAUACUGGAAACCACUGCUGUCUGGUGUUCCUGGAGUCCAAAGCUGAAGAUAUGGCAGAAGAGGUAUGCCAGGGCCAUCAAGAUGAGAGCCAUUGAACUAUGUUAAGCAAGAAGCCAUUUGGCCAUAUCUGUCAUUCAGAAAGUAAAUCCUUGUAGCUGAGGAGAAAAUGGUGACAAUGUUGCCUGAGCCCCGCACUGCUGGAAAAUGGUGAAGCUUUAGAAGUUCUUUUGUGUUCUGAAAAUACUGACAAAGAAGUCCCCAAAGCCUUAGGAACAAGCCUGGAGACCACAAGGGACCAUUGCAACAGUCCAGACCAGAGUUGGAGCAACUGAACUAGCACACUGAAGUGAUUUGAAGUGGCAAGAAAUGUUUACAAGGUGAACUGACUGGAAACUGGUCGUGCUCUAGACAAUCUAAACGCAAGAUGCUUCUAGAGAGAAGGAAGAGUCUGCAUCUUGCCUGGUCGCCCUCACUAUGUGUGUGAUCUCUUCCUGGGAGGAUGCUCAGAGCUCCCGGUGCCUUCUCUGUGCUCUCUCUGCACUUGCUGCGUCCUUGCACUGUUGCACAGGUACCAUGCAAUCACUUGUUCCUAUAACUGCCUCCCGAUGAGCUGUGAGCUUCCUGAGAACAGGGUUCAUGAUUCCAGUCACCUUUGUACUCCCAGCACCAAGUGGAGCACCUGGUGUUCUAGAAACAGCCACCAAUCAGUGCACCAAUCAGUGCACUGAUUCACAUUAGAGACAAAUUUACAAAGCCAUUUUAUGAUUUCUCGAUAUAUCCAUAUGUGUGCAAGUUCUCAGUAAAUAAUAAAUGACUGGGAAAAUAAUAUUAGGUAACAUUUAUUCUAGAUUUACUAUGUGCCAGGCACUGUGCUAAGCAGUUUGAGUGCACGUUCUCCUUUAAUAGCCACUAAACCCCCUAAAAAUUAAGUAUAAUAACUAUCAUUCUUAUUUUACUGAUGAGUAAAGUAAGACUAGAAGAAGAAAUUUUCCAUAAGGAAACAGAAGUGGGAUUCUGACCUUUUGUCUGACCCAAGUUCACACACUUAAUUCCUACAUACUGUUAUUUUCCUUCAAUCUCAGAAAUGGCUGUGACCACCUCAUCACGGGAGAACUGCUCAUCUUUACAUACAAUGGAAAAUCUGAAUAAUCGUAUGUCAAAGAGAAAGACAGAUGAUUAAAAUGAGCAAUGGAGCUUACUCUUUCAGGCAAAUGCCAGAAAGACAAAAAUCAUUUGGGAAUGUGUAUGCCAUAUUUAUAAUUCAAUAGAAACACUGACUCGAGGAGGAGAUGAGACCGUGAGAGCCUUGCUGUUCUGUGCUAACCGUCAGUCAGCAUAAAGAUUACCUUCCAAAGCACUGCAGCCAGGAACACACACACACACACACACACACACACACACACACACACAAAACCUGAAAAGCAUCAUUUCUGCAACAUGUGUGCUUUUCUAAAACACUUUGUGCAUUUCCUUGGCACAUUUCUGCAUUAAGCAGCUAGAAGAUGCAGAGAUUUAGAACAGCCAGCAUGGUGCACUCUAGAGCUGACUGGCUACAAAUGUGACCCUCACUUACCAAGAAAGUUGAUAUUUCAUUUGCUGUUCAUUAAUCUAAAGCCAUGUGACUACAGAUAAGUUUGUAUUAGGGUAAAAAUACUAUGAACCAGAGAGUUUGAUUUCUAGUUUGUUAUAACCUGCAAGGGAACAUCCUUGCAGAACUAUGGUAUGGGACUCUGAAAGUGAUCAGCCCUCUAAUUGCACCUGAGAUAUGUUUUAAAUCAUUUUAUCUAAGACACACUCCAGAGUGACAGCCAUGUUGUGGGCUUAAACAUACAGAAAGCAUAAUCAGCAUGAGCUUUCAGCCUAGCCAGCUGCCGGAAGAGAAGAGAGACAUUUAAGAAUGAGGAUAUCCUAAGACCACUUCAGACUGAAUUGGUUCCCUCUGAGAGGCCGUGAGCAGGGCACCAACCUCGCUGACCCUGUUUUCUAACCUCUGGGAAUGCUGAGGAUCAAAGGGAAGGGGGAAGGGACUGAGGUCGGUGAUGUAUGACAUCGCUCAACUGAUGUCCUGCAGUUCUUCUUGUUGUUAUGCAGGUUUUAAACUGAAUUUCAAAUAGUCAAACUCAUGCUUAGAAAAUAUAAGCAAUCAAAAUUAGAUAUCCUUUAAUAAAUAUGAUGAAAACAUAUAACAAGGGUGAUGUGAUGGGGAAAAUUGUUGAUCAAUGAUGUUUUUUCUGAGGGGAGAGUGUUGAGAGGCCCAAGAACAAGCAGGUUCUACUUCAUGUGGUUGGAGGUAGAGGCAGGGAGCCCAGCAAGAGGCUGUUGGAGUAGUUGAGACCGGACCUGCACCAGACAAUGAAUUGGGCAAGGGGUCCGGAGCCCAGCUUUCAAGGUGUGCCCUGUCCCGUAACUUCAGAAAUUACUUCAUGCACUUCUGCCUCCUCCUUAAUCCUUAGUAAGAUGUUUGAACUGCUUUACUCAUUUAUGCUCAAACAUUUAUAUUACUCUCCUAUACACACGCUCCUUCAACUUUGGACAACAUUGCAACUUGGUUCUAACUUCACUGAGAUCCCAAAAAGUAAAAAUGAGAGAGAGAGAGAGAGAGAGAGAGAGAGAGAGAGAAAGGGAGCAAUGUGGGUGGGACUCAUCCAAUCAGUUGAAGGCCUUUUGAGCAAAAUCUGAGAUUUCCCAGAAAGGAAGAAAUUCUCCCUCAAGACUGUAACAGAGAGAUCCCACCUGAUCUUCCAGCCUGCCAGCCAGCCUCACACACUUCCAAUUCAAAACUGCAUCAACUUUUGCCUCAGCUUCCAGCCAUGGCCUGCCCUGAAGACUUAGGAUUUGCCAGCCUCCACAAUUGCAUGA
Molecule: long non-coding RNA, 6088 nt
Organism: Felis catus (domestic cat)
Lineage: Eukaryota; Metazoa; Chordata; Mammalia; Carnivora; Felidae
Exons: 4
Source: RefSeq, a predicted model, not a curated record